CUUACUCAAGUCUGUAACAUUGCCAUGGCUAAAUAGAAAUUUCACUUUCCUUGCCAAGUGAAAGAAAGGAGGAAUUUUGAUGUAAUCAAUGCUUGGUAAGGUCUAGACAGUAGUAUCAAUCAUACUUCCUAUGUACAAAAUUUUCUUCACUUGGUGUUGGAAGCAAUUGUUAUUGUUGCAGUCCUGUUUUAUUUAUACCUAGAGCAGGUUCAGGAUUGAGAUGUUGUUAAUAUUUUGGUUUAGUUAAUUAUUGAAAUUCAUAUUCUUGUCUUAAGAACCAGUUUCAAUGACUUUGUUUGAAUGUUCAAAUAUUUGUGCAGGAUAUUCGUAUGCUCUAAACCUUCUGUAUAUAUUUCUCAACUUUUGAUGAGCUUACAAAGCAUGGACUCUGUAUUCUGAUUGCUGCAUGUUUCUACUCUUUCUUCCUUUGUUUUAAAGCAUGAACUCUGUAUUCUGAUUGCUGCAUGUUUCUACUCUUUCUUCCUUUGUUUUAAAGCAUGAACUCUGUAUUCUGAUUGCUGCAUGUUUCUACUCUUUCUUCCUUUGUUUUAAAGCAUGAACUCUGUAUUCUGAUUGCUGCAUGUUUCUACUCUUUCUUCCUUUGUUUUAAAGCAUGAACUCUGUAUUCUGAUUGCUGCAUGUUUCUACUCUUUCUUCCUUUGUUUUAAAGCAUGAACUCUGUAUUCUGAUUGCUGCAUGUUUCUACUCUUUCUUCCUUUGUUUUAAAGCAUGAACUCUGUAUUCUGAUUGCUGCAUGUUUCUACUCUUUCUUCCAUGUGCAAAGGAAGGAUUAUAAGCCAAUAUUCAUAAAAAUAACCAUUCCAUAGUCAUAUUAUAAGUUAUAAAGUUUAAGUCAAUAGAUUUCACAAUAAUUUGUAUGCAACCGUAACUGCAAUUGUGGGAAAUAAAUUAGGAUAAAUAUCAUCUCAACCAUAACUGCCAUUGGAUUAAUUAUAGUCAUAUUAUAAGUUAUAAAGUUCAAUUUAAUGGUAAUUACGUCAUUUUUUUAUUUUUGUUAAAUCAAGUUUUUUUUUUUAUGUUUGAGUUUUGUGUUGUGAAUUUGAUAAAAGUUUAUUUCUGUUAACCAUUGUUUCUCUCACAUGGUUGGAAAUUAACAAGCAAUUUUUUUCCCUUUUCCAUGUAUUCAUUUGCAGAUUUGAUCAAUGUGUUUGAAGUUUCUUUUUCCUCAACUUCACUUGUAUUCUAACCCAUCCACUAUUGAAUGGAGAAUGGAGAAGCUACUGUUGUGUUAACGUAAUUGCACUACUUAUGUUCAAAGAGUGGAGGCAAUCAUCCUUUUCAUUUUAGAUUCUAGAAAUGUUAAAUUUAGCCACAACUAGUAGGCAUCUGAUUAGAUGUGGCAGAAAUUUUUAUGUAUUUAAUUUAGAUUAUUCAGUUAUGAGAGUGAGAUUUCUCAUCUCUUGUUUGUUGGAGUGUUGGAAUUUGUAAUGUGUACU
Molecule: long non-coding RNA, 1457 nt
Filed under: Citrus sinensis (sweet orange)
Lineage: Eukaryota; Viridiplantae; Streptophyta; Magnoliopsida; Sapindales; Rutaceae
Description: long non-coding RNA (CSIN_LNC001264)
Source: RNAcentral